Molecule: ribosomal RNA, 414 nt
Filed under: Mantidactylus femoralis
Lineage: Eukaryota; Metazoa; Chordata; Amphibia; Anura; Mantellidae
Description: partial 16S ribosomal RNA
Rfam family: Bacterial large subunit ribosomal RNA
Source: RNAcentral
UACCCUAACCGUGCGAAGGUAGCAUAAUCACUUGUUCUUUAAAUGGGGACUCGUAUCAACGGCAUCACGAGGGUUCUACUGUCUCCUUUCUCUAAUCAGUGAAACUAAUCUCCCCGUGAAGAAGCGAGGAUAACACUAUAAGACGAGAAGACCCCAUGGAGCUUUAAACCCAAUUAUAUCCCUAACCCCUAUACCCAUUUAACCUCUUAGGCCUAUAUACUUGGUUUUAGGUUGGGGCGACCACGGAGUAAAACCAAACCUCCAUGAUGUACGGAACAACCUCCUUAUCUAAGAGCCACAGCUCUAGAAUUAGCACACUAUCAUAAAAUGACCCAUUAUUGAUCAACGAACCAAGUUACCCUGGGGAUAACAGCGCAAUCCAUUUUAAGAGCCCCUAUCGACAAAUGGGUUUAC